This 277-nucleotide ribosomal RNA is filed under the name uncultured Staphylococcus sp. Its description in RNAcentral is "partial 16S ribosomal RNA". It matches the Rfam family "Bacterial small subunit ribosomal RNA", at positions 505 to 781 of the family's 1533-position model. Lineage: Bacteria; Bacillati; Bacillota; Bacilli; Caryophanales; Staphylococcaceae. The record is from RNAcentral.
GUGCCAGCAGCCGCGGUAAUACGUAGGUGGCAAGCGUUAUCCGGAAUUAUUGGGCGUAAAGCGCGCGUAGGCGGUUUUUUAAGUCUGAUGUGAAAGCCCACGGCUCAACCGUGGAGGGUCAUUGGAAACUGGAAAACUUGAGUGCAGAAGAGGAAAGUGGAAUUCCAUGUGUAGCGGUGAAAUGCGCAGAGAUAUGGAGGAACGCCAGUGGCGAAGGCGACUUUCUGGUCUGUAACUGACGCUGAUGUGCGAAAGCGUGGGGAUCAAACAGGAUUAG